Molecule: ribosomal RNA, 253 nt
Filed under: uncultured bacterium
Lineage: Bacteria
Description: partial 16S ribosomal RNA
Rfam family: Bacterial small subunit ribosomal RNA
Source: RNAcentral
UACGAAUGGGGCAAGCGUUGUUCGGAAUCACUGGGCGUAAAGCGUGUGUAGGCGGUUUAUCAAGUCAGAAGUGAAAGCCCAGGGCUUAACCCUGGAAUUGCUUUUGAAACUGAUAGGCUAGAGUACUGGAGAGGUUAGCAGAAUUCCAAGUGUAGAGGUGAAAUUCGCAGAUAUUUGGAGGAAUACCAGUGGCGCAAGCGGCUAACUGGACAGUAACUGACGCUGAGACACGAAAGCGUGGGGAUCAAACAGG